CCUACGGGAGGCUGCAGUGGGGAAUAUUGGACAAUGGGCGAAAGCCUGAUCCAGCCAUGCCGCGUGUGUGAAGAAGGUCUUCGGAUUGUAAAGCACUUUAAGUUGGGAGGAAGGGUACUUACCUAAUACGUGAGUAUUUUGACGUUACCGACAGAAUAAGCACCGGCUAACUCUGUGCCAGCAGCCGCGGUAAUACAGAGGGUGCAAGCGUUAAUCGGAAUUACUGGGCGUAAAGCGCGCGUAGGUGGUUCGUUAAGUUGAAUGUGAAAUCCCCGGGCUCAACCUGGGAACUGCAUCCAAAACUGGCGAGCUAGAGUAUGGUAGAGGGUGGUGGAAUUUCCUGUGUAGCGGUGAAAUGCGUAGAUAUAGGAAGGAACACCAGUGGCGAAGGCGACCACCUGGACUGAUACUGACACUGAGGUGCGAAAGCGUGGGGAGCAAACAGGAUUAGAUACCCUUGUAGUC
RNAcentral lists this ribosomal RNA (465 nucleotides) under uncultured Pseudomonas sp. RNAcentral describes it as "bacterial SSU rRNA". It matches the Rfam family "Bacterial small subunit ribosomal RNA", at positions 338 to 795 of the family's 1533-position model. Lineage: Bacteria; Pseudomonadati; Pseudomonadota; Gammaproteobacteria; Pseudomonadales; Pseudomonadaceae. The record is from RNAcentral.